AUGUAUUACUGUGGCAGUUUAACCUACGCGAAGGUUUUCGGAAAAGGAGCGUUUUUAUCAGUCAAAGGUAAACCAAAUUUAAGUGUUUCAGUGUUCCAGAGCAGUGUGUCAGACUCGGUUCCUGCAGGAGCAUCAGUGACUCUGCAGUGUUCGGUUCUCUCUGAGAGCAGAGCAGCAGAACUCCAAGUGCUCUGGUUCAGAGCUGCUCCAUCACAAUCCCAUCCUCAACUCAUUUACACUCAUCACAACAGCAGCCUUCAGUGUGAGAGCGAAUCUUCUACACACACCUGUGUGUACAACUUGUCCAAGAACAUCUUCAGCCUCAAUGAUACUGGAACUUACUACUGCGCUGUGGCCCUGUGUGGGAAGAUCAUUUUCGGGAACGGAACAUGA
Non-coding RNA from Silurus meridionalis, 393 nucleotides. The record is from the annotation of a RefSeq genome assembly. Lineage: Eukaryota; Metazoa; Chordata; Actinopteri; Siluriformes; Siluridae.